AGGACCCUGGGAUCAUGACCUGAGCCGAAGGCAGACGCUUAACCAUCUGAGCCACCCAGGCGCCCCUACCUCAUCUUCUUUAUUCAUUCAUCAGUCGAUGGAUAUUUGGGCUCUCUCCAUAGUUUGGCUCUUGUUGAUAAUGCUGAUGUAAACAUCGGGGUACAUGUAUCCCUUCGAAUCCGAAUUUUUGUAUCCUUUGGGUAAAUACCUAGUAGGGCAAUUGCUGGAUCGUAGGGUAAUUCUAUUUUUUAACUUUUUGAGGAAUCUCCAUACUGUUGUCCAGAGUGGCCACAGCAGUUUGCAUUCCCACCAACAGUUCUUUUGCUGAAUUUGAGUAUGAGACGUAGAGGAAAGUUUAGUGUCGAUACUGGGGACAGAAGCAGCAAGACAUGGAGAAGGAAAGUUCUAAGAAGCCUUAAGUCAACAUAAGCUAUGGGUGAGGAGGAGCCAUGAAUUAGCAGGAACUCUGAAUCAGCAGAAAUUGAGACAGAGAGCAGAGUGGGGACAGCAGAGGAAUAGGCCAAGACCCAGAGGUGCUGAGUCACCAGGAUAGUGGAGCCCCAGCUUAGGGGCCUGGGAUGCCCCGAUGACGGGUAUCCAGGAGUGUUGCCGCUGAGUUGCAGAGCUGCGUGCAUCCGGUGACUAGAGCUACUGCUGCUGUUCGAGCCUCUAGGAGGUUGGGUGGCUAAGACUUCGGUCUUCCCAGUCUUCUAAUGAAACCUGAGAAUGUUUCUCUUCUUUGCAAGAACCUGACUGACGACACCAGCCACCUCAAAACUCCUCUGAGACUGUUGGGAAAUAGGGACAGCUGUGGCCUUUGGGUUCAGCAUCCUUCCUUGGGGGCAGUGACCUUUAUCUGACACUUUGCAGUUCUGGGCCUGCCAGUCAUGGGACUUCACCUUCCAGCUGGCCACAUAAUCUAGGCUGGCCUGGACAGUCGCCAUUGCAGGGAUGUGUUUCUCAUGUAGAGACACCUCCAGGGAAUCUUGAGAGAGCCCCUGGGUGCCGCUGGCUGGGAUCUUCCUGUUUUCCAAGGCCUGUUUAUUUAGCUCUUAUGUUCUGGGACUUCCCAAAUGGCCUCUACAAAUCCCCUUUCCUUUUUAAAGUAAUAAUGCUAACUGGACACACACCUUGGAGGGUUGUUUUCAAGUGAAACAAGUGACUCCUGGACAGAUUCGCCUUCCUGCCCCUGGUCACUCCCUCUGCAGCCCUUUCCUGUUCCACCUGACCUGUCUGCACUCCCUACCUAACAUACCCGAAAUAGCCCAGUGUUUUUUUCCCUUCGAAGGAGGAUUCUUUUUUUUUUUUUUUUAAGAUUUUAUUUAUUUAUUUGACAGAGAGAGAGACAGCAACAGAGGGAGCACAAGUAGGGGGAGUGGGAGAGGGAGAAGCAGGCUUCCCGCCCAGCAGGGAGCCCGUUACAUAACGGGACUCUAUCCCAGGACCCUGGGAUCAUGACCUGAGCUGAAGGCAGACGCUUAACGACUGAGCCACCCAGGCGCCCCCAAAGGAGGAUUCUAAGCCUAAACCAGCCCCCAGUUUACCAUAGGCUUUGCCAAGUCCUUGCCCAGCGCCUUUUCAGGCUUCCGUUUCUCUUCAUAACAGUAAGCAUAUGUGAGGACUCUUUAGGAUCUAAAUCAGACGGGGCUCCUCUCUGCAGUACCACAGUACUCCCUAUAGGUGGCAGCACGUCACCGCAAAUGUCCCGGAAUGUUGAACGCUCAGGUGCUCAAGGGCAACCAGGAGAGGGCGUGGGAGAUGCUGGGGGUAUAGCACUUGCUAGCCACGGAGGAGAGGAGGUAGGCGGUAGGAGGAAGGAAAGUGGACUCUCACUGGCCUUGAGACAAAAGAGAGUCGAGGUCUGGAGGGCAGGAGUAGUUGGUGUACCCAGUCUAUCCCCCCAUCUGUCCAUCCAUCCAUCCAACAAAUAUUUUUGAGCCCCUGUGCCAGGCUCUGGAGAUGGUGCAAUGAAUAAGACGGACACCUGUAGUCCCUCUCCUCACGAAGCUGGCACUCCACUGCAAAUAUCCCCCCCACCCCCAGCCCCCAACAGCCCUCAUGUAGCACACCUGUGCCUUCUGGCUUGUUUCCUCACCUGUAAAAUGGGAUAGUAAACCAUGUACCUCUCAGGUCCAUGGUGAGGCUUAGGUUCUAGUGCCCAGUCUGUGUUUCUACCCUGGCCCUCAGUCCCACCUCUCCCUUCACAGGAACUGAAAACUGCUGAACGCUGCAGUCAUCCAGGCGAGGGCUCAGUGUCCUCUCUGUAUCCAAGGGAAGCACCGGCCGGCCCACCCUUCUGCAAAGUCUAGGCUGGCUCCUUGUCCUUUAGGUGGCAGCUCAGGUGUCUCAUUGCCAGGAAGCCCUGUCUGAUGCCACCCACCUUUCUGCCCCAAGGAGACGUUAGCGUGGCAGGUUGCAUUUUCCGAAGAUGGCGGCAACACUGUCUCUCGUCCCACAGGCUCUUCUUACAAGGUUCCAUACGUAAGUGGACCAUCCAGUAUUUGCUUUCUCCGUCUGGCUUAUUUCAGGCAACCAAUUAUGGUGAAAUACACUUAUCAAAAUAUUACAAAGCCACACUCUGAUAUAGCAGUAGGCGUGCUUCUUUAUUAACAGACCACAGAAUAAGACCUGGUGGUGGGCCGGCCACGUUAUUAUGAUUGUAAUUGUAAGGCAGUGAUGAGUUUAAAUGAUAGUCCAAGAUACCUGCAGCAAAUGUAACGGGAUAUGAAACUAUGUUUGGUUCCAAUUGGUGACAAAGUCGUGGGGGCUGGGACCACAGCUGCAGUUUGCUGCCGACCUUCCUAAUGGAAGGAAAUGCAACUUUACAUUUAGAUGUUAAGAAAAUUAAGUGGCAGUACCUUUCUUCAUCCCACUUCACCGACCCCAGGUAAAGAGCCCUGUUGGACUUGGGUAGACUAGGGUGCCAACCCCUGCCCUAUGGCUUCCUGUGUGGGACGUUUGUGGGAAUUGUUCUUCCUCCCUGUGCCUCGGGUUUCUCAUCUAUAAAAUGGGUGUGAGACUAGUGAGCUCACAGAGCUGCUGGGAAGAGUACACGCGAUCAGCCAAAUUCAGCACACACUUAACUAUUUAAAAUUUUAUUUUAAUGGGCUGAGGACAUUUCACAUGACAUCUGCCCUUUUGACAAACAAGAAGAUGGAAGAUCUUUUUUUUUUUUUUAAGAUUUUAUUUAUUUAUUUGACAGAGAGAGAGAUAGCGAGAGCAGGAACACAGGCAGGGAGAGUGGGAGAGGGAGAAGCAGGCCCUCCGCUGAGCAGGGAACCCGACGUGGGGCUCGAUCCCAGGACCCUGGGAUCAAGACUCGAGCGGAAGGCAGACACUUAACCGACUGAGCCACCCAGGUGUCCCAAAGAUGACAGAUCUUGACAAGGACGUGGGGAGAUCGGAGCCCUUGCACACGGUCGGUGAGCAUGCAAAAUGGUGCAGCUCCUAUGGGAAACAGUUUGGCCUUCCUUGAACAAUGAAGAACAACUAUGGUAUGAUCCAGUGAUCCCAUGUUGGGGUAUUUAUCCAAAAGAAUCAAAAUUGGGACCUAGAGGAGAUACCAGCACCCCCAUGUUCACUGCAGCACCAUCGACACCAGCCCAAGAUAUGGACACCCAACCCAAGUGUCUGUUGACAGAUGACAGGAUCAAGAAAACCUGGUGAAUAUAUACAAUGCAACAGCACUCGGCAUUAAAAAAGAAGGAAAUUUGCCACGCCGUGAGGAUAGGGAUGAGCAUGCUGAGCAUUUAUUGAGCGCUGCUCUGUGCUUGGGAUAUCUUUUGGGGCUGGGACAAAAUCCCUGCCCUCAUGGGAUUUACAUUCUAGGAGCAGAGACAGGGAACCAGCAGGCAAAUUUAUUUACAGUUUCAGGUAAUCAUGAGGGCUGUGAAGAAAACGGACCAGGUGAUAUGGCAGAGAACAAACGCCCGGUGCAGGCGACAUUAGAUCAGGGAAUCGGGGGAUCCUAACACACACGAAUGAUAUUAAUGCAUCAGAGGAGAGACUGUAUUUGAAGCCCCUGGCACAAUGCCCGGCACACAGUAUAGGCUCGAUGUGUGUUGGCCACAGCGAUGCUGCGGCUGCCGGACCCCGCCCCCCCGCCCACUGGCUGGCGUUCCCCGGGGGCGCACACCCCCCGGCUCACCGUGGCUGGGGCUGGCACUGCCCACUGUACUUGGGGCUGGCAGAGCGUGGGCUGACGCGGGCGAGGAGAAGGCCGCGUCCCUGUCAGAACGGGAUCUGAGGGAAGCAGUUCUGAUUAAAGGAAGAGAAAGUCUUCUCUCUGCUGUGUCUUUCGGGGAGAGCGAAGCAAUCAAUAGGUCUCGCAGAUCAGUGGAGGGUGCUUGGAAUCUGGCAGCAUGGGGCUUUUUAAUUAAAGCUGUAACUGCGAGAAAAGGUAGCUGCCUAAUUUCUGCAGCUUGUGUUUCGGUCUGCCUGCCAGAAAUUGGACAAGUCAAUGCACUUCCAGAGGCUCCAAGGAUCUUGACGAGGUGGGCUCUGGUUUUGGGGGAGGGCCAGACCCUGCCAGGACGAACAUCUGGAUGGCCAAGGUGACAGGUGCCAAUUCUGCGGGCAAAGGUGUUGCAUUUAGACACCCACAGCAGCUGUGAUCAAUCAGUUGCACUUUCUGGGAAGGCGAUGGCCCUUCCCAGCCAGCAAUGAUUUGUCUUCCGAAAACACUGGGUCUGUCCAAAGAUGUCAACAUUACUUUAAACAAGAUAUUUCCUUUUAUUAUGAAAUAGAGCCUCGCCACUUAAGGUGUGAUCCGCGGGCCAGCACCAUCGGCAUCGGCUGCUGGGACAAUGUCAAAAGUGGAGAGUCUCGGGGCCCCUGGGUGGCUUAGACGGUUAAGCAUCUACCUUCGGCUCGGGUCAUGAUCUCAGGGUCCUGGGACGAGCCCUGCAUCGGGCUCCUUGCUCAGCAGGAAGCCUGCUUCUCCCUCUCCUACUUCCUCUGCUUGUGUUCCCUCUCUCUCUGUCUCUCUCUAUGUCAAAAAAAAAAAAAAAAAAAAAAGUGGAGAGUCUCAAGGCCCUGCCCCAAACCUCCUCUGUCAGAAUUGGCAUUUUAACAAGAUCCUUAGGAAAUUCAUGGGCACAGUCAAGUGUGAGAAACGCUGAGAUUAGGAGACCUGAAGACAAAUCAGUCCAUUGCCAAGGUGUAAACCUUAUUUAAAAUCCUGAAAAGAACGUAAAAAAAAAAAAAAGAUCACAUUCAUGAGACAAUUUGAACACUUAUUAGAUAUUUGAGGACAAUAAGGAUUAAUUUGGCAGCUGUGAUAAUGGUUGUGUGGUUGUAUUAAAAAACAGCCCUUAUCUUUUGGAGUUACACUUGGAAAUACUUAAAGAUGAAGUGAUUUUUUUUUUUUUUUUUUUUUUGGUCUGGCAUUUGUUACAAAACGCUGGUGGAGGCAGAGCCUGGGGUACAGAUGAGGUAGGACUGGCCAUGGGUUGAUGGUUCAGAGCCCUGGGUCUGGUAUAUGAAGAUGCAUUAUACCAGUUUGUUUACUUAGCAUAUGUUUAAAACGCUCCAUAAGAAAAAAUGAAGACGAUGAAAUAUAACAUUCUGGUCCAAAGCGCAUAAAACGUGAAGGUAUUAUGAAGGAAUAAUGAUGCAAGUGAACAUUUGUGCAUCUACUACCGGGUCAUUUUCAGCCAUGCCCUCCUCCCCAGAACCCCUUCCCUCCCACUCUCUUGGUGGGUGUCACCCCCCUGCCCAUGGAGUCACCUGGGGAGACUUUACAAAAUAACAGUGCUGAGACCCUCCAGACCAGUGAAAACCGAAUCCCUGGGAGGGCCGGGGGGUGGGGAAUGGGUGGGUGGAGCACAGGUGAUUCUAAGAUGUACCCCAGUUGAGAAUUAAUGAGUUUGUCGAACUUUUCAUGUAAAUCACGAGGUCUUUGUGCUUGAGUUUUUCAAUGAACUUACAUUUCUGUUGUGCCAAACAGGCCAUUUCACGGAUGGUUUCUCAUGGAGCACUGAGGUGCCGGAUAGUUUUGUAAACAUAGGUUGCCUUGGGCAGUGGACAUUGCACCCCAUUUUUGAAAAUCAUGACAGGAGUUACCACUUACUGAGCACUUUCUACAUGCCUGGCACUGUGUUAGAUACUUUAUAUAUUUAUUGCAUUUAAUGUGGAGUCAGCAUCACUAUCCCCAUUUACUGAUGAACAAACUGAGGCUUAGGGAGACUGUGUGGUUUGCCCAAGGUCACCCAGUUUGGAAAGCCCAGAGUGUCUGACUCACUGCUCUUCACCAUCCUGUCAUGCUGCUCGUGAUGGAUCCUGAGGGAAGAGUUUAGGGUCAUUCCAUAACCCACGAAGAACUGGGACUGAACACGGAAUGACCUUUACUACUUAAGUUAUGUGCCUUUGGGGCACCUGGGUGGCUCAGUCGGUUAGGGGUCUGACUCUUGGUUUCGGCUCAGGCCAUGAUCUCUGAUCUCAGGGUCAUGGGAUCGAGCCCAUUGUUGGGUUCCAUGCUCAGUGCGGAGUCUUCUUGGGACUCUCUCUCUCCCUCUGCCUCCCCCCCACCCGCAUGCUCUCUCUCUCUCAAAUAAAUAAGUCUUAAAAAAGAAGUUAUGUGCCUUUGGGAAAAAUCACUUUGAGCUGAGUUGUGUGUGUCAAGCGGGGACAUUGCUGCUUUGUGUUCUCCAGCUGACAACCUCUUACUCAUCUGUCAAAGGUGCAUCAAUUGUCACAGGGCAGGGAGGCAGGAAAUGCCUCUGCAUUUCAAGUGACCUCCUGGCUAAACCCGAGUGAGUCACGCCCUCCUCCAGCCUCACAGAGCGCUUGUCCAGGCCUCUAAGAGUAGUUGGCAGGAGCCCUGCCCUCACCGUGCAAGGCACCCGCCUCGUAAGGACAGGCACUGUUUUGUAGUCAUCUCGGUGUCUGAAGAACCCAGCCCAGGGGCAGUGCAUGUCUGUGACUGGAAUGACAGGAUGCGGGUUCUGUUCAACCACCAAAGCUUUGGCCAGAGCAUAUGAUCUCAUGAUCUAUAUCCCGUGGGCUGAGCUGUGUCAGACAGGCACAGGACAGUGGUUAGGAGCUGGGGCUCUUAAUUCACACCGCCUGGGUUCAAAUCCCAGCACUGCUACUUCUGAGCAGAAGGACCUGGGGCAGGUUAGUUUACUUCUCUAGGCCUCCUUUCCCUCCUCUGAAAAUCGAGUAACAAUAGUAUUACCUCUCAGGGUUAUUGUCCGGAUGGGAUAGGUUAGUAUUUGAAAAUUGCUUAGGAAUGCCUGGGUGGCUCAGUCGUUAAGUGUCUGCCUUCAGCUCAGGUCAUGAUCCCAGGGUCCUGGGAUUGAGCCCCGCAUCGGGCUCCCUGCUCCGCGGGAGGCCUGCUUCUCCCUCUGCCACUCCCCCUGCUUGUGUUCCCUCUCUCGCUGUGUCUCUCUCUGUCAAAUAAAUAAAAUCUUAAAAAAGAAAAGAAAAUUGCUUAGACCAUGCCUGGUAGUGCUGUGUGGAGCUGGAAGCGAAAGGAAAAAUUGGUAAUAGUGGCUCCGUCUUUAUUGAAAACUUUUUUUUUUUUUUUGGUCUAUCAUGGUUAUUUUUACAUUCAUUUUGAUUUUUUGGGAAUAUUGCACCAAAAUAUUAAUUAAUUUGAUGACUGGGUUUUUUGGUGCCUUCUUAAAUUUUGCACCCAAAGGCGAGUGCCUUAUUGGCCUCACCCUCAUCCUGGCUCUGGCCCUUAGGAAGCAACAUGCAAGUUUUCAUUGUCUGGAGGGGGCUCAGUGUUGUUAUAUUAAAAAAAAUUAUAUCUAUACACUCCUUGUGCAGCACCUACUAUGUUGCUGUGGCAUUGGGGAUGGAACUGUGAAUAGAUAUUCACAACCAUGGUUCUUGCCCUCAGGGAGUUGAUGGCUUGCUGAUGAUAAUCACCACUAAUUGAGCACUUACUGUAUGCCAGGCUUGGUGCAAGUGAUACUUUCAUGAAUCCUUACAGUGAUUUCUUAGGAGGGAAUCAUUAUAUUCAUUUUGCAGAUGAAGGAACUGGACUUAGAGCAAUUGAGCAGCUUGUCUGAGGCCACAAAGUUAAGAGGGGGAUACCCCCGUCUUUCAGCCCACACCAUCCAAGCUCUUUUUGCCAAUGAUCUUUGAGUGAGGUGGGAGCUUUGUUCCUACCUUCUGCAAGAACAUCUUGGAUGCCGAAGAAAUCAGUUGGAUUUUUUUGGGAAUCCCAUUGCAGUGUUUCUCUAAAUACUCAUUUCUCAGGAAGCUCCAAAUCUAAAAUCGAGUGAAAAGAAAAAUGCAAAGUGGGGUAUAAACAUGUAUGGAAGUAUGGAGGGAUAUAACUGAGUGCAGGGAUCAACAUAGGCAAAGAAUUAAGCCUUUAAUGUAUGAGGGGAAAUGGGUUAAUGUCUUUAUUUUUCAGAGAACUCAAAUCAAUACGACAAGCCCCGAAAGUGGGUAGAAAGACAAGCAAAGGGGUGUGAACAGACAACUCGAAAAAGAUGUAGGAGGGGCCAUGGGAGGAGCCUCCCCCUUUCAGAGCCGGUUUGAGCAACCACCAGCCAUUGACCCAUUCCCUGCUCGGAGAAGAACACGGUGUUGAAAAAUCUCUGAGACAAGGCUUUGGUGUGGUCUAAAGGGACUGGAGAAGCAGCCCUGGAGUCUUCUGGCAAAGGGGGAGAGGGAGGAAGGGAGACAGACAGUAGGAUGAAGGGAGGCCAGAAGGGGCAGAGGAAAAGGAGCAGGAAGGCCAGCAGACAGCCUCCCGGGCAAAGGGCUUUUGAGGGUAUCCGAAAUGCAGAACAGCAUUUCCCCACAGGGUUUCUGUUAGACAGCUGUCCUCCCACCCCCGGAGGGAGCCUGGUUUCUUCCAUCAGCCUGGAAGAGACAGUUCAGGGACCUGGGCCUGGUGGCCGUGGCCACUCCCACCGCAAAGGCUUAUGGUGAUGUUUGAGAUGAAGGUCUGAAGUUCAAGGGCUAGCACACAGGAGGUCAGCCUCCUUCUUUCUAACCAGGGCUCCUCCCUUGGAGAGAUAAAUUGCUCCUGAGAGGCAAUAGCUACAAUUUAUAAAGGGCUUACUGUGUAUCAAGUACUUUCAUUUAACCCACAAAAAUAGCUACUAUUAUCAUCAUCUGUUCUGUAGGUGAUGGAAGGAGGUUCAGGGAGCAUCUAAUAACAUAUACAAGGUCACAUCGCCUGCAAAUGUUUGUCCUGUGGGGACCUUGCUGCUGUCUAAGAGGGUGGCCCGUGGCCACUGAGCGUGGCAAAUAUGCCUAGUGUGAAGAAGGGAGUGAAUUUUAAAUUUUAUUUAACUUCAAUUUGCAUUUAACUUAAAAACUGAAGCAGUGUAUUUUUUUCUGUGGAAACGACUUGAUUGUUUUAGUGGGAUUCCAUUUCACUUUAGCUGUUGAAAAUUUAAUGUCCAAAUUGAAACUGUUGUAAAGUACCCAUGGGCAUUAGAAGACUUAGUAUACAUAACAAAAGAAUGUAAAACAUCUCAUUAAUAAUUUUUUUAAAGUUUAUUUAUUUAUUUGUUUGUUUGUUUGUUUAUUUAUUUAAGUAAUCUAUACCCAAUGUGGGGCCUGAACUCACAACCCCGAGAUCAAGAGUCACAUGUUCUUUUGACUGAGCCAUGCACGUGCCCCUCCCUUAAUAAUUUCUUAAUAUUGAUUACAUGUUGAAAUUAUAAUAUCUUGGAUAUAGUAAGCCAAGUAAAACAUUAUUAAAAUUAAUUUCACCUUUUAAUAAAAAUUGUUAAAUGUGGCCACGAGAAAAUUUAAAAUAACGUCAGUGGUUUGCAAUAUAAUUCUAGUGGCCCAGCACUGAGCUAGAGUAUGAACCCAGGAAGUCUGCAUCUGGAGUUCAGGAUUUUGACCAUUACAUGAUAUCAUCUGCCCCUUGAGUGCAGAGGUGUGUCAGGUAGCAUACCUAUUUGGAGGGUGUAGGCUGGAGCGACCCUGAGAGUUCUCUAGAAUUUCACACUCCUCUUCCUCCAGCAUCAGCUAUCUCCUUCAAGACCUAGUUCUACCCAGAGUGGCCUUUUGGAUGUAAUGACUUCCUAGCAACCUCAACUAACCAAGAGUUUCUAUUGGACAGGAGAACAGAAGCUUCCUUCAUUCUCAUUCCUCUGUCCCUUCAUUCAGCAAAGGCUAUUGAAUUUCUAAUGUGUGCCAGGCCCUGUGAACAAAAAACAGAAAACAGUCCCUGUCCUCAAGGGAGAAUCCAUUUCCUUGCCUUGUCCAGCUUGUAAGGGCUCCUCGCAUUCCUUGGUUGCUGGCUGUGCAUCACUUCAACCUCUGCUUCCUUGUCAUGUCUCCUUCUCUGUCCCUGGCUACUCUGCCUCCCUCUAAAAGUACCCUUGUAAUGCGAUUUGGCUCACCCAGACAAUCUUCUCAUCUCCAAAUCCUUAUUUAAUCACAUCUGCAACAUUCGCAACCUCCCUUUUGCUAUGAAAGGUAACAUAUUCACCGGUUCCAAGGAUCAGGAUGUGGACAUCUUUGAAGGAGGGCAUUAUUCUGUCUACCACAGGGGCUAAAAUUUGAGAUAAGAUGACCAGGGAGGGACUCAUUGAGAUGACAUUUGAGUAAAGGCCUGAGGGAGUAAGGGAGUAUACAGAUACCUGGUGAAAGAGCCUUCUGGACAGAGAAAAAAGCAUGUGCAAAGGUCCUGAGGUGGAAGUAUGGCUGGUAUGUUUGAAGAUGAGCAGAGAAGCCAGCAUGUCUGGAGCAGAGAGAUCUAGGGGCAGAAUGGUAGGAAAUGACAUCAGAGAGGUAAUAUGGAGUGGGCAUGGGAGGGGAGAGAUAGAUCAUGAAGGGCCUUGUAGAUGAUUUUAAGAAAUGUAUCUUAUAGGGUCACCUGGGCGGCUCAGUUGGUUAAGUGCCUAACUCUUUUUUUUUUUUUUUAAAGAUUUAUUUAUUCAUUUGAGAGAGCGAGAAUGAGAGAGAGUACAUGAGAGGGGGCAGGGUCAGAGGGAGAAGCAGGCUCCUCGCCGAUCAGGGAGCCCGAUGCGGGACCCGAUCCCGGGACUCCAGGAUCAUGACCUGAGCCGAAGGCAGUUGCCUAACCAACUGAGCCACCCAGGCGCCCAAGCUCCUAACUCUUGAUUUCGGCUCAGGUCAUGAUCUCAGGGUCCUGGGAUGGAGCCCCACGGGGGCUCUGUGCUUAGUUGGGAGUCUGCUUGAGAUUCUCUCUCUCCCUCCUCUGCCCACCCCCGCUGUGUGCAUGCUCUCUCUCUCAAAUAAAUAAAUAAAUAAAUCUUUAAAAAAAAUGUAUCUUAUAUUCUGAAUGAGAUGGGAAGACUUUAGAGGCUUCUUCUAAGUACAUAUUCAAUAAUUAACUGUGCAAAAAAUCUAAAACCGAGUGAAAAGAAAAAUGCAAAGUGGGGUAUAAACACGUAAAAGGGCAUAUGGAAAUAUGGAGGGAUAUAACUGAGUGCAGGGAUCAGCAUAGGCAAAGAACUAAGCCUUUAAUGUAUGAGGGGAAACGGGUUAAUGUCUAUUUUACAGAGAACUCAAACAAAUCAAUAAGACAAGCCCUGAAAGUGGGUAGAAAGACAAGCAAAAGGGUGUGAACAGACAACUCAAAAAAGAUGAAAAGCAAUUAGCUGGGCACAUGGGAAAAUGAUCAGCCUAACCAGUAAUCAAAGAAAUGCAAAUUAGAACCACAAACGGGCUACAUUUCCAUCUUGUGAGGAUUUUAAGGACGAUAAUGCCGGCUUUGGCCAUCCUGGCGUGAGGUAGACUCAGGAAUGCUGGCUGCAGGGAGUCUGACCCUUUUGGGCAACCCUUUGACGCUGGCUCUCAAGACCUUAAACAUGGGCAUUCUGGUUGGCAGAAGGAAACCAAGGCUUGUAAUCUAGCCCAAGGACAUAAUUCUAAAUCCGGAGACAACUUUGUUCAUGGCAGCCAAACAACAGAGACAACCAAACUGUAAACAAUAGAUUAAAUAGGCCACGGGGGUCAUUCCUUUGAUUUUGUUUUUUUUAAAGAUUUUAUUUAUUUAUUUGACAGAGAGAGAGGCAGGGAGAGAGGGAGCACAAGCAAGGGGAGCAGCAGAGGGAGAAGCAGGCCUCCUGCAGAGCAGGGAGCCCGAUGCGGGGCUCGAUCCCAGGACCCUGGGAUCAUGACCUGAGCUGAAGGCAGAUGCUUAACGACUGAGCCACCCAGGCGCCACCUCCUUUGAUAUUUUUGUCAAGUAAUAUUAAUUAAAUGCUAGCCAUGUGCCAAGCAAUUUCUAGGUGCUAGGAAUACAGCCACGAAAAAAACACCCCAACUCCCUGGACCCCAUGGGACUCAUUCUAGUGAAGGAGAAAGAACAUUAAAAAGCAAAGAUGUGAACGUGUUACAUGCCGAGGAAGAACAAAGCAGGGAUAUGUGGCAGGGAGUGAUGGAGAUUUGUAGGGUGAAUAACUGUCCCAGUUUGCUGGGGAUGGGCCCGGGGUCGGGGGGAGGUUCCCAGCAUACAGGAUUUUCAGUUUUAUUAUUUAUUUAUUUAUUUAUUUAUUUAUUUAUUUAUUUAUUUAUUUAUUUAUUUAUUUAUUUAUUUAUUUAUUUAAUAUUUAUUAAGUAGGCUCCACGCCCCGGCCUGGAGCCCAGUGCAGGGGCUGGAACUCACAACCCUGAGAUCAAGACUUGAGCUGAGAUCAAGAGUCAGACGCUCAACCAGCUGAGCCAUCCAGGUGCCCCAGAAUUUUCAGUUUUAAAACUGGGACGGUCCUCGGGCAACUAGGAUAAGUUGGUCAACCGAAGAAGGGCAACUUUCUGAUGGGCUGGUCAGGGCCUUUCUGAGGAGGUGGCGUUUGACUCAGGACCAAAUGAAGCAAGGGAGGGAACUAUGGGCAUGCUAGCAAAGUAGCUUUCUAGGCAGAGAGAACAGUAUGUACAAAGGCCCUGAGGCAGGAGUGUUCUUGGGGGUGUUUGAAGGACUAAAAGAAGGUCAGGGUGUCUGAAGCAUAGCGCCAGGGAAGAGAGUGGUAGGAGAUAGGUUGCAGAGGAGGAGGGAGGAGCUGGCUUCUGACCCUUGUAGGAAAGGGAAAGAACUUUGGAUUUUAUUUUAAGCCCAGUCAGGGAAAUGAAAUGGUAUAAUUUAUGAUUUUAGAAAGAUCCCUUUGGCGGUUGUGUGAAGAAAGGAAUGUUGGUGAGUGUGGGGUGGGGGGCAGGGUGGACUCAGGUAGACCUGAUGGGAGGUGGUUAUAAUCAAGGGCAGUGGUCUUGAACUCAAGCAUGCGUCAGAAUCACCUUCAGGGCUUGUUAAACACAACUUCUGGCCCUGCCCGUGGAGACAGCAUUUCUCACAAGACGCUGAGGUUGCUGGCCCGGAUCACUCCGAGUAGCUACCACUUCGAGCGGCAAAGAGCCAGGAGAGAGGUGAUGGUGACUUGCACUAAGGUGGUAUCAGUGCUGAAGUCAAGUCUUGUCUGAGAUGUGUUUUUUAUUUUUAUUUUUUGAAAGAUUUUAUUUAUUAUUUGACAGAGAGCGAGAGAGCAUGAGAGAGUGAGCACGAGCAGGGCAGGAUGCCGCUGAGGGAGAGAGAGAAGCAGACUCCCCACUGAGCCGGGACCCUGAUGCGGGGCUCGAUCCCAGGACCCCAGGAUCGUGACCUGAGCUGAAGGCAGACGCUUAAUCGACUGAGCCAGCCAGGUUCUCCUGGGAUGUGUUUUGGGAAGUGAAACUGCCUGGCAGAAAGCUACACCUGGAUUCUUGCAGCUGAACCCAUGUAACUGGCAUCUGGACUUUUCUACCCAGUUACCCCCAUGUGAGAAACAGGGUACAGAUGAGUGCUCUGGUGGAGAAGGGAGCUCUUUAAAUGAAGAUGGCUAGUGGUGAAGCAGAGUGAUUCUGACAUCUGCUAAGUGGAGAAAAAUGGCAGGGACUCACUUUGCAAGAAAUUACACUAUGUUCAAUGACUUCCCAUCAAGAGUAAGCAAUGUUCCGUAUCCUGCCAUUGCUCCCAGGUGAUGCCGAUGCUGUGCUUCGUGGAGGGCAGGUCUGGAACACGUGAUCCUAUUCCCUGACAAGCUUAAUAGCUGGGAAGGCACUGCGGCCAGCCGCGCAGCCUGAGGCCGCUCGCAGGGCAGUGUUGGCCUGGUCGUGGGCUUCCCUACUGUGUGCUGGCCUCAGUCUCUCUUCAUUGGCCCAGUGUGAUCGAGGAGAUGCCAGUAGAAGAUAGUCAAGAAGGCGUCCGUGGGAUACAGAAGCAUUCCAAGCUUACAUGCCAACCAAAACAUCAGUUCUUUUUUUGGACUGGGACCACACCACUGGCUCUCCUGGUUCUCAGGCCUUUGCACUUGGACUAGAACUUACAUCGUCAGGACUCCUGGGUCUCCAGCUGGCAUGACUGCGGAUUUUGGGACUUAGGCUCCAUAAUCAGGAUGAAGGGGCUGAGAUUCAGAUUUUGCAGAGGAACAUCUGAGUUGCCACUUCUGGAUGAAUGAGGAGUUAAGGUAAGACUGCCUGCUAGAACACAAAUUCUCAAUGGGGUCACACAACACACGUUUCAUAUCGCGGUCACCAGUCGGGAAUGGCUGGUCAGGGGACUUUCCUAUGUGACU
This is a long non-coding RNA of Mirounga angustirostris (Northern elephant seal), 14495 nucleotides long. RefSeq lists it as uncharacterized. Lineage: Eukaryota; Metazoa; Chordata; Mammalia; Carnivora; Phocidae. The record is from RefSeq and is a predicted model, not a curated record. The transcript has 9 exons.